GUCGAACGAUGAAGCCCUUCGGGGUGGAUUAGUGGCGAACGGGUGAGUAACACGUGGGCAAUCUGCCCUGCACUCUGGGACAAGCCCUGGAAACGGGGUCUAAUACCGGAUACGAGCCUCCCGGGCAUCUGGGAGGUUGGAAAGCUCCGGCGGUGCAGGAUGAGCCCGCGGCCUAUCAGCUUGUUGGUGAGGUAACGGCUCACCAAGGCGACGACGGGUAGCCGGCCUGAGAGGGCGACCGGCCACACUGGGACUGAGACACGGCCCAGACUCCUACGGGAGGCAGCAGUGGGGAAUAUUGCACAAUGGGCGAAAGCCUGAUGCAGCGACGCCGCGUGAGGGAUGACGGCCUUUCGGGUUGUAAACCUCUUUCAGCAGGGAAGAAGCGAAAGUGACGGUACCUGCAGAAGAAGCGCCCGGCUAACUACGUGCCAGCAACCGCGGUAAUUUCA
This 452-nucleotide ribosomal RNA is filed under the name Streptomyces sp. EXM-4-1. RNAcentral describes it as "bacterial SSU rRNA". It matches the Rfam family "Bacterial small subunit ribosomal RNA", at positions 61 to 527 of the family's 1533-position model. Lineage: Bacteria; Bacillati; Actinomycetota; Actinomycetes; Kitasatosporales; Streptomycetaceae. The record is from RNAcentral.